AAUUUACCGUAAUGAAAAGGCAAGGAAAACUUGAUAGAAUGCAUGCAUAUGUAAAGUUCUGGUGGAUCAAAGAUCGAGGAAUGAUUUGCUUUUAACUGGUUUGCAUCUUAUGAACAAAGUACGUAAUAUGAUUUAAACUGAUGAUUUAUAGUUACACCUAUUGAAAUUCUGUAUCUCAAUGAUAUCCUGGCUUAUCGAUACGAUAUCCUGUAAAUUCACUCACACACAUAAGUUUUACUCACACACGUAAAUCCUGUAAAUUCACUCACACACAUAAAUCUUAAAAAAGAUGUUUAUAUUUUAUC
Molecule: long non-coding RNA, 305 nt
Organism: Hydra vulgaris (swiftwater hydra)
Lineage: Eukaryota; Metazoa; Cnidaria; Hydrozoa; Anthoathecata; Hydridae
Source: RefSeq, a predicted model, not a curated record